RNAcentral lists this ribosomal RNA (2903 nucleotides) under Escherichia coli. Its description in RNAcentral is "23S ribosomal RNA". It matches the Rfam family "Bacterial large subunit ribosomal RNA". Lineage: Bacteria; Pseudomonadati; Pseudomonadota; Gammaproteobacteria; Enterobacterales; Enterobacteriaceae. The record is from RNAcentral.
GGUUAAGCGACUAAGCGUACACGGUGGAUGCCCUGGCAGUCAGAGGCGAUGAAGGACGUGCUAAUCUGCGAUAAGCGUCGGUAAGGUGAUAUGAACCGUUAUAACCGGCGAUUUCCGAAUGGGGAAACCCAGUGUGAUUCGUCACACUAUCAUUAACUGAAUCCAUAGGUUAAUGAGGCGAACCGGGGGAACUGAAACAUCUAAGUACCCCGAGGAAAAGAAAUCAACCGAGAUUCCCCCAGUAGCGGCGAGCGAACGGGGAGCAGCCCAGAGCCUGAAUCAGUGUGUGUGUUAGUGGAAGCGUCUGGAAAGGCGCGCGAUACAGGGUGACAGCCCCGUACACAAAAAUGCACAUGCUGUGAGCUCGAUGAGUAGGGCGGGACACGUGGUAUCCUGUCUGAAUAUGGGGGGACCAUCCUCCAAGGCUAAAUACUCCUGACUGACCGAUAGUGAACCAGUACCGUGAGGGAAAGGCGAAAAGAACCCCGGCGAGGGGAGUGAAAAAGAACCUGAAACCGUGUACGUACAAGCAGUGGGAGCACGCUUCGGCGUGUGACUGCGUACCUUUUGUAUAAUGGGUCAGCGACUUAUAUUCUGUAGCAAGGUUAACCGAAUAGGGGAGCCGAAGGGAAACCGAGUCUUAACUGGGCGUUAAGUUGCAGGGUAUAGACCCGAAACCCGGUGAUCUAGCCAUGGGCAGGUUGAAGGUUGGGUAACACUAACUGGAGGACCGAACCGACUAAUGUUGAAAAAUUAGCGGAUGACUUGUGGCUGGGGGUGAAAGGCCAAUCAAACCGGGAGAUAGCUGGUUCUCCCCGAAAGCUAUUUAGGUAGCGCCUCGUGAAUUCAUCUCCGGGGGUAGAGCACUGUUUCGGCAAGGGGGUCAUCCCGACUUACCAACCCGAUGCAAACUGCGAAUACCGGAGAAUGUUAUCACGGGAGACACACGGCGGGUGCUAACGUCCGUCGUGAAGAGGGAAACAACCCAGACCGCCAGCUAAGGUCCCAAAGUCAUGGUUAAGUGGGAAACGAUGUGGGAAGGCCCAGACAGCCAGGAUGUUGGCUUAGAAGCAGCCAUCAUUUAAAGAAAGCGUAAUAGCUCACUGGUCGAGUCGGCCUGCGCGGAAGAUGUAACGGGGCUAAACCAUGCACCGAAGCUGCGGCAGCGACACUAUGUGUUGUUGGGUAGGGGAGCGUUCUGUAAGCCUGUGAAGGUGUACUGUGAGGUAUGCUGGAGGUAUCAGAAGUGCGAAUGCUGACAUAAGUAACGAUAAAGCGGGUGAAAAGCCCGCUCGCCGGAAGACCAAGGGUUCCUGUCCAACGUUAAUCGGGGCAGGGUGAGUCGACCCCUAAGGCGAGGCCGAAAGGCGUAGUCGAUGGGAAACAGGUUAAUAUUCCUGUACUUGGUGUUACUGCGAAGGGGGGACGGAGAAGGCUAUGUUGGCCGGGCGACGGUUGUCCCGGUUUAAGCGUGUAGGCUGGUUUUCCAGGCAAAUCCGGAAAAUCAAGGCUGAGGCGUGAUGACGAGGCACUACGGUGCUGAAGCAACAAAUGCCCUGCUUCCAGGAAAAGCCUCUAAGCAUCAGGUAACAUCAAAUCGUACCCCAAACCGACACAGGUGGUCAGGUAGAGAAUACCAAGGCGCUUGAGAGAACUCGGGUGAAGGAACUAGGCAAAAUGGUGCCGUAACUUCGGGAGAAGGCACGCUGAUAUGUAGGUGAAGCGACUUGCUCGUGGAGCUGAAAUCAGUCGAAGAUACCAGCUGGCUGCAACUGUUUAUUAAAAACACAGCACUGUGCAAACACGAAAGUGGACGUAUACGGUGUGACGCCUGCCCGGUGCCGGAAGGUUAAUUGAUGGGGUUAGCGCAAGCGAAGCUCUUGAUCGAAGCCCCGGUAAACGGCGGCCGUAACUAUAACGGUCCUAAGGUAGCGAAAUUCCUUGUCGGGUAAGUUCCGACCUGCACGAAUGGCGUAAUGAUGGCCAGGCUGUCUCCACCCGAGACUCAGUGAAAUUGAACUCGCUGUGAAGAUGCAGUGUACCCGCGGCAAGACGGAAAGACCCCGUGAACCUUUACUAUAGCUUGACACUGAACAUUGAGCCUUGAUGUGUAGGAUAGGUGGGAGGCUUUGAAGUGUGGACGCCAGUCUGCAUGGAGCCGACCUUGAAAUACCACCCUUUAAUGUUUGAUGUUCUAACGUUGACCCGUGAUCCGGGUUGCGGACAGUGUCUGGUGGGUAGUUUGACUGGGGCGGUCUCCUCCUAAAGAGUAACGGAGGAGCACGAAGGUUGGCUAAUCCUGGUCGGACAUCAGGAGGUUAGUGCAAUGGCAUAAGCCAGCUUGACUGCGAGCGUGACGGCGCGAGCAGGUGCGAAAGCAGGUCAUAGUGAUCCGGUGGUUCUGAAUGGAAGGGCCAUCGCUCAACGGAUAAAAGGUACUCCGGGGAUAACAGGCUGAUACCGCCCAAGAGUUCAUAUCGACGGCGGUGUUUGGCACCUCGAUGUCGGCUCAUCACAUCCUGGGGCUGAAGUAGGUCCCAAGGGUAUGGCUGUUCGCCAUUUAAAGUGGUACGCGAGCUGGGUUUAGAACGUCGUGAGACAGUUCGGUCCCUAUCUGCCGUGGGCGCUGGAGAACUGAGGGGGGCUGCUCCUAGUACGAGAGGACCGGAGUGGACGCAUCACUGGUGUUCGGGUUGUCAUGCCAAUGGCACUGCCCGGUAGCUAAAUGCGGAAGAGAUAAGUGCUGAAAGCAUCUAAGCACGAAACUUGCCCCGAGAUGAGUUCUCCCUGACUCCCUGAGAGUCCUGAAGGAACGUUGAAGACGACGACGUUGAUAGGCCGGGUGUGUAAGCGCAGCGAUGCGUUGAGCUAACCGGUACUAAUGAACCGUGAGGCUUAACCUU